RNAcentral lists this ribosomal RNA (292 nucleotides) under uncultured bacterium. Its description in RNAcentral is "partial 16S ribosomal RNA". It matches the Rfam family "Bacterial small subunit ribosomal RNA", at positions 505 to 796 of the family's 1533-position model. The record is from RNAcentral.
GUGCCAGCAGCCGCGGUAAUACGUAGGAUCCUAGCGUUAUCCGGAUUUACUGGGUGUAAAGGGUGCGCAGGCGGACUUGUAAGUCAGGGGUGAAAUCUCAUCGCUUAACGGUGAAACUGCCUUUGAUACUAUAAGUCUUGAGUUUGGUAGAGAUCCGUGGAAUUCCGAGUGUAGCAGUGAAAUGUGUAGAUAUUCGGAAGAACACCAGUGGCGAAGGCAGCGGAUUGGGCCAAUACUGACGCUCAGGCACGAAAGCAUGGGGAUCAAACAGGAUUAGAUACCCUUGUAGUCC